GGUACGUACGCUCANACNGGGGGAUAACACUUAGAAAUAGGUGCUAAUACCGCAUAAGCGCACGGUCCUGCAUGGGACAGUGUGAAAAACUCCGGUGGUGCAAGAUGGACCCGCGUCUGAUUAGCUGGUUGGCGGGGUAAAGGCCCACCAAGGCGACGAUCAGUAGCCGGCCUGAGAGGGUGGACGGCCACAUUGGGACUGAGACACGGCCCAAACUCCUACGGAAGGCAGCAG
This 234-nucleotide ribosomal RNA is filed under the name uncultured bacterium. RNAcentral's name for it is "partial 16S ribosomal RNA". It matches the Rfam family "Bacterial small subunit ribosomal RNA", at positions 120 to 354 of the family's 1533-position model. The record is from RNAcentral.